AAUUCAGAAGCGAAGUAUUGCGUUAAGUUUCGGCCUUAAAAUUGAGAAAUAUCUCCUGAAUUU
Molecule: transfer RNA, 63 nt
Filed under: Thuridilla gracilis
Lineage: Eukaryota; Metazoa; Mollusca; Gastropoda; Plakobranchidae
Description: tRNA-Arg
Source: RNAcentral